AGCAGCCGCGGUAAUUCCAGCUCCAAUAGCGUAUAUUAAAGUUGUUGCAGUUAAAAAGCUCGUAGUUGAAUUUCGAGAUCAGUACGCUGGUCGUGCCUUCGGUACUAUGCACUGGUGUCACUGGUUUCUCCCUUCUGAAGAACCGUAAUGCCAUUCAGUUGGUGUGGCGGGGAAUCAGGAUUGUUACUUUGAAAAAAUUAGAGUGUUUAAAGCAGGCUCGUGCUUGAAUACAUUAGCAUGGAAUAAUGAAAUAGGACGUUUGAUCCUAUUUUGUUGGUUUCUAGGAUCGACGUAAUGAUUAAUAGGGAUAGUUGGGGGCAUUAGUAUUCAAUUGUCAGAGGUGAAAUUCUUGGAUUUAUUAAAGACUAACUACUGCGAAAGCAUUUGCCUAAGGAUGUUUUCAUUAAUCAAGAACGAAAGUUGGGGGAUCGAAGACGAUCAGAUACCGUCGUAG
This 454-nucleotide ribosomal RNA is filed under the name uncultured Glomus. Its description in RNAcentral is "SSU rRNA". It matches the Rfam family "Eukaryotic small subunit ribosomal RNA", at positions 569 to 1023 of the family's 1831-position model. The record is from RNAcentral. Lineage: Eukaryota; Fungi; Glomeromycota; Glomeromycetes; Glomerales; Glomeraceae.